GGCGGAAUGGCCGAGCGGUCUAAGGCGCCAGACUAAGGAAAGCGGAAUUGUGUUCAAUCUGUACGACCAACUCGGUUUCCGAGUGUGUUAUCUGGUCUUUCGGGGCAUGGGUUCGAAUCCCAUUUCCGUCA
Molecule: transfer RNA, 131 nt
Filed under: Armillaria solidipes
Lineage: Eukaryota; Fungi; Basidiomycota; Agaricomycetes; Agaricales; Physalacriaceae
Rfam family: tRNA
About the family: Transfer RNA (tRNA) molecules are approximately 80 nucleotides in length. Their secondary structure includes four short double-helical elements and three loops (D, anti-codon, and T loops). Further hydrogen bonds mediate the characteristic L-shaped molecular structure. tRNAs have two regions of fundamental functional importance: the anti-codon, which is responsible for specific mRNA codon recognition, and the 3' end, to which the tRNAs corresponding amino acid is attached (by aminoacyl-tRNA synthetases). tRNAs cope with the degeneracy of the genetic code in two manners: having more than one tRNA (with a specific anti-codon) for a particular amino acid; and 'wobble' base-pairing, i.e. permitting non-standard base-pairing at the 3rd anti-codon position.
Source: Rfam by way of RNAcentral